GAUGAACGCUGGCGGCGUGCCUAAUACAUGCAAGUCGAGCGAACGGACGAGAAGCUUGCUUCUCUGAUGUUAGCGGCGGACGGGUGAGUAACACGUGGAUAACCUACCUAUAAGACUGGGAUAACUUCGGGAAACCGGAGCUAAUACCGGAUAAUAUUUUGAACCGCAUGGUUCAAAAGUGAAAGACGGUCUUGCUGUCACUUAUAGAUGGAUCCGCGCUGCAUUAGCUAGUUGGUAAGGUAACGGCUUACCAAGGCAACGAUGCAUAGCCGACCUGAGAGGGUGAUCGGCCACACUGGAACUGAGACACGGUCCAGACUCCUACGGGAGGCAGCAGUAGGGAAUCUUCCGCAGUGGGCGAAAGCCUGACGGAGCAACGCCGCGUGAGUGAUGAAGGUCUUCGGAUCGUAAAACUCUGUUAUUAGGGAAGAACAUAUGUGUAAGUAACUGUGCACAUCUUGACGGUACCUAAUCAGAAAGCCACGGCUAACUACGU
This 496-nucleotide ribosomal RNA is filed under the name uncultured bacterium. Its description in RNAcentral is "partial 16S ribosomal RNA". It matches the Rfam family "Bacterial small subunit ribosomal RNA", at positions 28 to 506 of the family's 1533-position model. The record is from RNAcentral.